Non-coding RNA from Plutella xylostella (diamondback moth), 103 nucleotides. Lineage: Eukaryota; Metazoa; Arthropoda; Insecta; Lepidoptera; Plutellidae. The record is from RefSeq and is a predicted model, not a curated record.
UACAUAAUAUUAUGUAUAGCCAAACCAGGAAUAUAAAAACCCUCGCCAUAUUGCGGAAAAGCAAUAGAACUUUUUUCUUGCACUGGUAUCACAAAGUGUCAUA